GCCGAGGUAGCUCAGUUGGUAGAGCAGCGGUAUCGUAAACCGCGGGCCGUGAGUUCGACUCUCACCCUCGGCUCCA
This 76-nucleotide transfer RNA is filed under the name Candidatus Collierbacteria bacterium RIFOXYB1_FULL_49_13. Its description in RNAcentral is "tRNA-Thr". It matches the Rfam family "tRNA". From Rfam's summary of the family: Transfer RNA (tRNA) molecules are approximately 80 nucleotides in length. Lineage: Bacteria; Candidatus Collieribacteriota. The record is from RNAcentral.